This 787-nucleotide non-coding RNA is filed under the name Wallemia ichthyophaga EXF-994. Its description in RNAcentral is "Bacterial small subunit ribosomal RNA". It matches the Rfam family "Bacterial small subunit ribosomal RNA", at positions 9 to 873 of the family's 1533-position model. Lineage: Eukaryota; Fungi; Basidiomycota; Wallemiomycetes; Wallemiales; Wallemiaceae. The record is from Rfam by way of RNAcentral.
GAGUUUAAGCUUGGCUCAGCUUGAAUACUAUCUAAUAGCUAGACAUGCGAGUCGUACGAGGAUAAUAUAUAAAUUAUUCUAGUGGCGUGAAGGUGAGUAAUGGUAUAAUUAGGACACCUAGACCCGUCUUAAAUGGAUGAUAAGGGGAAUUUUAUUUUUAUAGGAUUCUUUGAAAGGGUUGUACUUGGUUUAGGUUCUGUUAUAUUCUAAGUAGCUAGUUGGUAGGGUAACUGCUUACCAAGGCUAUGAUUAGUAGUCAGUCUGAAAGGAUGUAUGGCCACAGUGGGUAAUAAACCCAUCAUGUUAUAUUUAGCAUGCAGCAGUCGGUAAAAUUGGUCAAUGCUUGAAAAAGUGAACCAGCUAAUUAGAUUACGUAUAAUCAUCGUAUACGUAGUAGGAUAUAUUCAUAAUGAGAAUCUAUAUCUGAGUAGUCCUUGACAAUUCUGGUGCCAGCAUCAGCGGUAAUACCAGAAGGGCGAGUAUCAAGCAUAAUAAAUAGGCGUAAAGGGAUCGCAGACGGUUUUAAUAUUUCUUAUAUUUAGGAAACUUAUUGAAACUAGAAUCUAAUGGGUGUUUUGAGCACGUUGGGAGUAGGGGUAAAAUCCGUUGAGACUCAAAAGACUACUAAAAGCGAAAGCACAAAACAAUUAAAGAUUGACGUUGAGGAUCGAAAGCAUGGGUAGCAAAAGAGAUUAGAGACCUCUGAUAGUCCAUGCCGUAAACGAUGUCUGUUCAUAUGUAGCAAUUUUUCCGCUAUAUAUUUAGUUAGCACAUUAAACAGACCGCC